GAGAAUGUGGUUAAGGAGUUUUAUGGUUCUUUUAAAACUAGCGGGUCAAAAUCAAUUUCUGUAAAACUUGAAGGAGAAAUUAAAGCGUUGUCUUAUGCUGACUUAAGCAAGAUCUUUAAUUUGCCAAACACUGGGCCUAGGGUAACAAAAAUCAAAGAUAUUUCUAGGGUUAGCGGAUACCAAAAGGAAGAAUUUGUUAAGAAAAUUAUAAAGAAAGGUUCUGCGGAAAAACAGGGUGUUAUUGAGUGUUCAAACUUGACUGACAGUAUGGCCUUAAAAAAGCCUUUAGACAGUGGAAUGUUGAAUUUACUACUUUUAUUACUAUUCAGUUGGGGUUUGUUCAAUCUGCCUAUGAUCAUUGCUUAUUCACUAAGACUGUUGAUGAUACUCUCUUGAUUCUCUUGGUGUAUGUUGAUGAUGUUAUCAUAACUGGUAACAAUCUUGAUGCUAUUUUUCUGGUGAAACGAGCCUUACAUUCUCACUUCAUUAUCAAACAAUUGGGUUUUUGCAAAAUAUUUUCUCGGAAUAAAAAUAGCUAGAUCCAGUUCUGGUACUUAGUCAAAGAAAAUUCAUUUUGGAUCUGGUUAAGGAACUUGGUCUAUAAGAUGCAAAGCCUGCUUCUUCUCCUUUGCCUAAAGGUCUUAAAUUGUCUUUAGAAGAUAGUGAUUUGUUGACAGAACCAAAUCAGUUCAGGAGACUUAUUGGUAAACUCUUAUACAUUACUAUGACAAGGCCUGAUAUUAGCUACUCAGUUCAACAUCUUAGUCAGUUCAUGGUUGCGCCUAGGCAGCCCCAUAUACUGGCAGCAAUGCAAAUUAUUAGAUAUUUGUGUGGAUGUCCGUAUCAAGGCUUAUUUUUUCCUGCCACUAAUGAUCUUAAACUUCAGGCCUUCUAUUAUCCUGAUUGGGCCUCUUGUUCUUCCACAAGAAGGUCCUUAACAGGUUUUUGUGUUUUACUUGGAGUAGCACUAAUUUUCUUGGAAACCAAAGAAGCAAACUACUAUCUCACAGUCUUCUGCUGAAGCUGAAUAUAGAAGCAUGGCUUCUACAAUUUGUGAGUUGCACUAGAUCUCUUACAUAUUGGUGGAUCUUUUUGUUUCUCCAGAUCUUCCCAUUCCUUGACACUGCAACAAUCAGGCUGCCUUCAUAUUGUAGCUAAUCCUGUGUUCCAUGAGUGUACAAAGCAUCUUGAUGUAGACUGUCACUUGGUCCGAGAUCACCUUAAACAAGGUUUUAUGGUGAUAAAUGGCUCCAAGAGGGAGAAGGUAGAGAGCCUCCUCAUAUGGAUGGAGAGAUAUCAACUGAAAGAAUCAAGUGCUUUAGGAGAAUUUUUUCUAAUGAAGAUGACCGUUGUAGAGCAAAUGAUGAAUUUGCUAAUUUUUUUUUCUUAAAAGUGGGCCAUUUGUGGAUCCAAAUUCUAUUGAGUGUAGGUAUAGUACAGACCGUAGGAAGUGGUGGGCAUGUUUUAGUUCUAAUGUACCCUUACUUCAAAAAAUUUGCUCUUAGAAUGCUUGGACAACCUUGUUCUUCCUCUUGUUGUGAAAGAAAUUGGAGUACUUAUUCCUCCAUUCAUUGAUGUAGAAGGAAUAAAGUAUCUCUAAAACAUGCAGAAGACUUAAUUUUUAUUCAUAUCAAUUUUUGCCUUUUGUCAAAAAAUGCCUCUCAAUAUUAUGAUGAGAGGAAAAUGUGGGACAUUGGUGAAGAUGAAUUUGAGAGUUCUUAAAUUUGUCAAUCUUUUAUGAGGUAAACUGGAAUUAGAGUAUGUAUUUUUUAAUGAA
Molecule: non-coding RNA, 1777 nt
Organism: Jatropha curcas
Lineage: Eukaryota; Viridiplantae; Streptophyta; Magnoliopsida; Malpighiales; Euphorbiaceae
Source: RefSeq, a predicted model, not a curated record